RNAcentral lists this ribosomal RNA (515 nucleotides) under uncultured bacterium. RNAcentral's name for it is "partial 16S ribosomal RNA". It matches the Rfam family "Bacterial small subunit ribosomal RNA", at positions 28 to 523 of the family's 1533-position model. The record is from RNAcentral.
GAUGAACGCUGGCGGCGUGCCUAAUACAUGCAAGUCGAGCGAAUGGAUUAAGAGCUUGCUCUUAUGAAGUUAGCGGCGGACGGGUGAGUAACACGUGGGUAACCUGCCCAUAAGACUGGGAUAACUCCGGGAAACCGGGGCUAAUACCGGAUAACAUUUUGAACCGCAUGGUUCGAAAUUGAAAGGCGGCUUCGGCUGUCACUUAUGGAUGGACCCGCGUCGCAUUAGCUAGUUGGUGAGGUAACGGCUCACCAAGGCAACGAUGCGUAGCCGACCUGGGAGGGUGAUCGGCCACACUGGGGCUGAGACACGGCCCAGACUCCUACGGGAGGCAGCAGUAGGGAAUCUUCAGCAAUGGACGAAAGUCUGACGGAGCAACGCCGCGUGAGUGAUGAAGGCUUUCGGGUCGUAAAACUCUGUUGUUAGGGAAGAACAAGUGCUAGUUGAAUAAGCUGGCACCUUGACGGUACCUAACCAGAAAGCCACGGCUAACUACGUGCCAGCCGCCGCGGUAA